GUUCCGGACAGGAAUAGUACAGUUGUCCUGCCGGACUCUGGCCUGUCCCGCAGCACCUGUUCUGACUUCAGGGACAGUUGUCUCUCCAUUUGUCUUUUGCCAUAGCAAAGUGUCCUUGGCUAUGGGCUGCCCUACUAUACAGAAAUUCGACAUCUACAACUCUAUAGAAACUGAACAGCAACGCCCUAGUGGUGAGUUUUGCACAGCUCCCAGGGAGAUCUGUGACCGAUGCUCCUCAAGUUGAAGGUUCAUCCUCAGUUCAGUGGAAGGUUCACCCAGCGGUCAACAGGCUAUUCUGCUACCAGGGCACUCUCGCUCUUUCUCAAUCUGUCUCUCCCUCCCUCUUUGGCCAUUUUCUCCCAAUUUUCUGGCUGUAAGUAAUCAGGCAACACUAACUACUGUAUGUAUUAAACACUUAGACUGGGUUGUUUUUACUUUCAUUGUUAAAAUAGCAGUAACACGGUUUGCUUCAGGUGCUUCUUUCUUCUUGAGUUGAAUGUUUGCCUUCACUGAGGUAUGUUUUUGGCUGUUUAAUGCAUCAUUUAAGUGGUCCUUGCAGGCAGACAGACCUUUGAACAUAUUUGUCUGGCAUUGCUGUGCAAUUUUACAGUCCUUUGUCUCUCAUCAAAAUGCAAUGACCUAUUUCAAGGCUUAAUUUACAAACAAUGAACUGAUAUGUUUAAGCACGUCAAAUGCAGCCCCAUUCUUUCAUAUGAUGAAAAGGGUGAAUAAAACUCUUGAUGCAAUGAAUAACAAAAUAGAAAAUCAAAUUAGUCUUUAUUUCAAUUCUGCAACUGAA
Long non-coding RNA from Cyprinus carpio (common carp), 799 nucleotides. RefSeq lists it as uncharacterized. The record is from RefSeq and is a predicted model, not a curated record. Lineage: Eukaryota; Metazoa; Chordata; Actinopteri; Cypriniformes; Cyprinidae. The transcript has 3 exons.